UUCCUGGUAGCUCAAAGGGUAAAGCAUCUGCCUGCAAUGAAGGAGACCCAGGUUUGAUCCCUGGGUGGGGAA
Non-coding RNA from Bos taurus (domestic cattle), 72 nucleotides. NCBI's taxonomy places the organism in Eukaryota, Metazoa, Chordata, Mammalia, Artiodactyla, Bovidae. The record is from Rfam.